CCUACGGGCGGCAGCAGUGAGGAAUAUUGGUCAAUGGACGAGAGUCUGAACCAGCCAAGUAGCGUGAAGGAUGACUGCCCUAUGGGUUGUAAACUUCUUUUAUAUGGGAAUAAAAUGUUCCACGUGUGGGAUUUUGUAUGUACCAUAUGAAUAAGGAUCGGCUAACUCCGUGCCAGCAGCCGCGGUAAUACGGAGGAUCCGAGCGUUAUCCGGAUUUAUUGGGUUUAAAGGGAGCGUAGGUGGAUUGUUAAGUCAGUUGUGAAAGUUUGCAGCUCAACCGUAAAAUUGCAGUUGAAACUGGCAGUCUUGAGUACAGUAGAGGUGGGCGGAAUUCGUGGUGUAGCGGUGAAAUGCUUAGAUAUCACGAAGAACUCCGAUUGCGAAGGCAGUUCACUGGACUGCAACUGACACUGAGGCUCGAAAGUGUGGGUAUCAAACAGGAUUAGAUACCCGGGUAGUC
Molecule: ribosomal RNA, 460 nt
Filed under: uncultured bacterium
Lineage: Bacteria
Description: partial 16S ribosomal RNA
Rfam family: Bacterial small subunit ribosomal RNA
Source: RNAcentral